RNAcentral lists this ribosomal RNA (253 nucleotides) under uncultured bacterium. Its description in RNAcentral is "partial 16S ribosomal RNA". It matches the Rfam family "Bacterial small subunit ribosomal RNA", at positions 524 to 776 of the family's 1533-position model. The record is from RNAcentral.
UACGAAGGGGGCUAGCGUUGCUCGGAAUCACUGGGCGUAAAGCGCACGUAGGCGGCUUCUUAAGUCAGGGGUGAAAUCCUGGAGCUCAACUCCAGAACUGCCUUUGAUACUGAGGAGCUUGAGUCCGGAAGAGGUGAGUGGAACUGCGAGUGUAGAGGUGAAAUUCGUAGAUAUUCGCAAGAACACCAGUGGCGAAGGCGGCUCGCUGGGCCAUUCCUGACGCUGAGACGCGAAAGCUAGGGGAGCGAACAGG